Molecule: ribosomal RNA, 434 nt
Filed under: uncultured bacterium
Lineage: Bacteria
Description: bacterial SSU rRNA
Rfam family: Bacterial small subunit ribosomal RNA
Source: RNAcentral
GAUGAACGCUGGCGGCGUGCUUAACACAUGCAAGUCGAACGAAACACCUUAUUUGAUUUUCUUCGGAACUGAAGAUUUGGUGAUUGAGUGGCGGACGGGUGAGUAACGCGUGGGUAACCUGCCCUGUACAGGGGGAUAACAGUCAGAAAUGACUGCUAAUACCGCAUAAGACCACAGCACCGCAUGGUGCAGGGGUAAAAACUCCGGUGGUACAGGAUGGACCCGCGUCUGAUUAGCUGGUUGGUGAGGUAACGGCUCACCAAGGCGACGAUCAGUAGCCGGCUUGAGAGAGUGAACGGCCACAUUGGGACUGAGACACGGCCCAAACUCCUACGGGAGGCAGCAGUGGGGAAUAUUGCACAAUGGGGGAAACCCUGAUGCAGCGACGCCGCGUGAGUGAAGAAGUAUUUCGGUAUGUAAAGCUCUAUCAGCAG